Molecule: unclassified non-coding RNA, 295 nt
Filed under: fungal sp.
Lineage: Eukaryota; Fungi
Description: partial internal transcribed spacer region
Rfam family: Eukaryotic small subunit ribosomal RNA (bases 1-46)
Source: RNAcentral
AAGUCGUAACAAGGUUUCCGUAGGUGAACCUGCGGAAGGAUCAUUAUCACGUAUCCACGUAUAAACUUCAUGAACUGUUCCCUUUGGAACAAUGGGGAUGGGGACCGUUGCUGUGUGCCUUCAUUCUCAAUUAACUUGUUCCACUGCGGUAAAUCUCACAGCUUAUUAUUAACGCUUUUGUUCGUCGAACUGAACUGUUGGGUGUUGGCUCACGCCGCAUCCAAGCGUUUUUAACAAACUUAAAACAAUUCUUAACAACGGAUAUCUUGGUUCCCGUUUCGAUGAAGAACGCAAC